This 252-nucleotide ribosomal RNA is filed under the name uncultured prokaryote. Its description in RNAcentral is "partial 16S ribosomal RNA". It matches the Rfam family "Bacterial small subunit ribosomal RNA", at positions 525 to 775 of the family's 1533-position model. The record is from RNAcentral.
ACGUAGGAGGCGAGCGUUAUCCGGAUUUACUGGGUGUAAAGCGCGUGCAGGCGGUUUAGCAAGUCGUGCGUGAAAGCGCUCUGGCUCAACCGGGCGAGGACAAUGAAGACUGGUCAGCUAGAGGACGGUAGAGGGGUGUGGAAUUCCGGGUGUAGUGGUGAAAUGCGUAGAGAUCCGGAGGAACACCAGAGGCGAAGGCGACACCCUGGGCCGUACCUGACGCUAAGACGCGACAGCACGGGGAGCGAACGG